Molecule: ribosomal RNA, 253 nt
Filed under: uncultured bacterium
Lineage: Bacteria
Description: partial 16S ribosomal RNA
Rfam family: Bacterial small subunit ribosomal RNA
Source: RNAcentral
UACGGGGGGGGCAAGCGUUGUUCGGAAUUACUGGGCGUAAAGGGCCUGUAGGCGGCCAAGUAAGUCCGACGUGAAAUCCCAAGGCUUAACCUUGGAACUGCGUCGGAUACUGGAUGGCUUGAAUUCGGGAGAGGGAUGCAGAAUUCCAGGUGUAGCGGUGAAAUGCGUAGAUAUCUGGAGGAAUACCGGUGGCGAAGGCGGCAUCCUGGACCGACAUUGACGCUGAAAGGCGAAAGCUAGGGGAGCAAACGGG